GGGCGUGUAGCUCAGUGGUAGAGCGCAUCACUGAUAAUGAUGAGGUCCCAGGUCCGAUCCCUGGCACGCCCA
Molecule: transfer RNA, 72 nt
Filed under: Candidatus Sungbacteria bacterium RIFCSPLOWO2_01_FULL_47_32
Lineage: Bacteria; Candidatus Sungiibacteriota
Description: tRNA-Ile
Rfam family: tRNA
About the family: Transfer RNA (tRNA) molecules are approximately 80 nucleotides in length. Their secondary structure includes four short double-helical elements and three loops (D, anti-codon, and T loops). Further hydrogen bonds mediate the characteristic L-shaped molecular structure. tRNAs have two regions of fundamental functional importance: the anti-codon, which is responsible for specific mRNA codon recognition, and the 3' end, to which the tRNAs corresponding amino acid is attached (by aminoacyl-tRNA synthetases). tRNAs cope with the degeneracy of the genetic code in two manners: having more than one tRNA (with a specific anti-codon) for a particular amino acid; and 'wobble' base-pairing, i.e. permitting non-standard base-pairing at the 3rd anti-codon position.
Source: RNAcentral